Molecule: ribosomal RNA, 323 nt
Filed under: uncultured Ascomycota
Lineage: Eukaryota; Fungi; Ascomycota
Description: eukaryotic LSU rRNA
Rfam family: 5.8S ribosomal RNA (bases 1-103)
Source: RNAcentral
AAUGCGAUAAGUAAUGUGAAUUGCAGAAUUCAGUGAAUCAUCGAAUCUUUGAACGCACAUUGCGCCCGCCAGUAUUCUGGCGGGCAUGCCUGUUCGAGCGUCAUUUCAACCCUCAAGCUCAGCUUGGUGUUGGGACUCGCGGUAACCCGCGUUCCCCAAAUCGAUUGGCGGUCACGUCGAGCUUCCAUAGCGUAGUAAUCAUACACCUCGUUACUGGUAAUCGUCGCGGCCACGCCGUAAAACCCCAACUUCUGAAUGUUGACCUCGGAUCAGGUAGGAAUACCCGCUGAACUUAAGCAUAUCAAUAAGCGAGAAAGAAAAAG